UGUUCGUUUUUGGCUUGUGAAGGAGUUUGAGUUCACAGUCACAUUCUUGAAAGAUGGAUUUCUCGUUGACCUAGUGGUCGAGGAAGCAGGACGAGUUCUUAAGCUCGACUCACUCAGCAGAACUGAGCAGUGGAAAGGAGUUGAUGUCUUAAUCUUCAACAGCUACCAUUGGUGGAUACAUACUGGACGCCUGCAAACUUGGGACUAUUUUCAA
RNAcentral lists this unclassified non-coding RNA (214 nucleotides) under Hevea brasiliensis (rubber tree). The record is from RNAcentral. Lineage: Eukaryota; Viridiplantae; Streptophyta; Magnoliopsida; Malpighiales; Euphorbiaceae.